UACAGAGGGUGCAAGCGUUGUUCGGAAUUAUUGGGCGUAAAGCGCGUGUAGGCGGCUUUGCAAGUCGGGUGUGAAAGCCCUCAGCUCAACUGAGGAAGUGCGCCCGAAACUGCAGAGCUUGAGUGCCGGAGGAGGGUGGCGGAAUUCCCCAAGUAGAGGUGAAAUUCGUAAGAUAUGGGGGAGGAACACCGGUGGCGAAGGCG
RNAcentral lists this ribosomal RNA (203 nucleotides) under uncultured bacterium. RNAcentral describes it as "partial 16S ribosomal RNA". It matches the Rfam family "Bacterial small subunit ribosomal RNA", at positions 524 to 723 of the family's 1533-position model. The record is from RNAcentral.